RNAcentral lists this ribosomal RNA (497 nucleotides) under uncultured bacterium. RNAcentral's name for it is "partial 16S ribosomal RNA". It matches the Rfam family "Bacterial small subunit ribosomal RNA", at positions 28 to 505 of the family's 1533-position model. The record is from RNAcentral.
GACGAACGCUGGCGGCGUGCCUAAUACAUGCAAGUCGAGCGGACUUUCAAGAAGCUUGCUUUUUGAAAGUUAGCGGCGGACGGGUGAGUAACACGUGGGCAACCUGCCUGCAAGACGGGGAUAACUCCGGGAAACCGGGGCUAAUACCGGAUAAUAUCUUCCUUCGCAUGAAGGAAGGUUGAAAGGCGGCGCAAGCUGCCGCUUGCAGAUGGUCCCGCGGCGCAUUAGCUAGUUGGUGAGGUAACGGCUAACCAAGGCGCCGAUGCGUAGCCGACCGGGGGGGGUGAUCGGCCACACGGGGACUGAGACACGGCCCAGACCCCUACGGGAGGCAGCAGUAGGGAAUCUUCCGCAAUGGACGAAAGUCUGACGGAGCAACGCCGCGUGAGCGAAGAAGGCCUUCGGAUCGUAAAGCUCUGUUGUCAGGGAAGAACAAGUACCGUUCGAACAGGGCGGUACCUAGACGGUACCUGACCAGAAAGCCACGGCUAACUACG